This 71-nucleotide transfer RNA is filed under the name Nesomachilis australica. RNAcentral's name for it is "tRNA-Lys". It matches the Rfam family "tRNA". Rfam says of the family: Transfer RNA (tRNA) molecules are approximately 80 nucleotides in length. The record is from RNAcentral. Lineage: Eukaryota; Metazoa; Arthropoda; Insecta; Archaeognatha; Meinertellidae.
UACUAAAUGGCUGAAAGUAAGCACUGGUCUCUUAAACCAUAAUAUAAUAUAUUAACAAAUAUUUUUAGUAA